GAAGAUUCCUUUAGUUGGUGCAAGGACGAAAGCAAAAGGCAUUAUGCGUAAUUAAAACAACAAAGGAAAAGGCAGUGCCAGCAGAAAAAAAAAGAUGAUAAUCAAUUAUGGGCCAACAAAGGAAAAGGCAGUGCCAACAAAGGAAAAGGCAGUGCCAACAAAGGAAGAUGCGUAAUUUUGAUUUGAGCCCCAAUAUUUCUUGGGUCUUUUACACACUUCCCUCCUAUCCAGUUUCCCUUUAUUUGAUCCGAUCUCAUUCCAUCUCUCAUCUAUUAUUGCCGUUCAUUCCACUGGCAUAGCGUUGUAUUAUAUGGCAGCUGCGAGCACCUGAGUUGGUUGGUGGCAGCAAGUUCGAGUCAAGGCGGCCGUGGAAGUUGCAUAACGUCGCAGAAGCACGAUCUGGGGACGACCAGCAGCGACUCCAUCCAAGUUCCUGCCUGGCUGUGGCAGCUCUUGAUUCCCAUCAAGAAGAACCUAGGACAAAUCCUUGCAUGGAGGUGGUGACAGGUGCACUGCCAAGCGUUAUCACCAAGCUGGGUGAACUUCUCAUUGGCGAGUACAAUCUGCAGAAGGGGCUGAAGGGGGAGAUCAGGUUUCUCCAAUCGGAGCUCGAGAGUAUGAAGGGUGCCCUUGAGAAGGUCUCUAGCACACCGGGCGACCGGCUUGACAUUCAAGACAAGAUCUGGGCUAGGGAUUUGAGGGAGCUGUCCUAUGAUAUAGAGGACGGUAUUGACACAUUCAUGGUCCGUGGGCAGGGUAAAGAGCAGGGCAAUCUGCAUGGCAUCAAGAAGUUCAUUGAUAGAAGUGUUGGUUUGUUUAGAAAGGCCAAGAUUCGCCAUGGGAUGGCCACUGAGAUCAGAGACAUCAAGACCCGUGUCGAAGAGGUAGCCAAGCGGCAUGGAAGGUACAAGAUCAACAGUGAUGUUGCUAUGCCUGUCAUGAUCGAUCCACGUUUAUUCAGUCAGUACACGGAGGCGAAAGAGCUUGUUGGAGUUGAUGAGGCAAGAGAUGAGCUAAUCAAGGCUCUAGAAGAAGAGAAUGAAGUGUCCAUGCAGCAGCAUGGAAAGAUAGUUUCCAUUGUUGGAUUUGGAGGACUGGGAAAGACAACUCUUGCAAAUGCAGUUUAUGAAAAGAUUAGAGCACGAUUCGAUUGGCAUUGUUUUACAUGCGGGAGGGAGGAGGAAUUGCCAGCAGCGAUGGUGGCCUCGACUUGGGCCUGGGGAACCUGCCAUCGCUGCAGUGGGUCGCGGCUGACCUCCAGUGUGCGGGCGCUAACAAGGCGGAGCAAGCCAAGGCUGCACUGACGCUGGCAGCUAGAAUGCAUCCCAAUCAUCCCAACCAUGAUAUAAAUAUUCAAAUAUGAAGGUGCGUAGAUCCUCUAGGUGGAGCUGCUCCAUGAUGGAGACGGUGGAGCGGAGUUAAAUUUCGUGGAGUGGAGCACUCGUAAAUGGACCCUUAUUCCUUCUAAAUAGGCCUUUGCUUCUGUCCUUUCCCAUUUCUUCUAAACUUAAUUGCUUCUGUCCACCUUAGCUCCAGUUGUUCUUUCUCCGUUAUUCUAACACAUCCUCCCCACUUUAUUUCCUUCUAAUCAUCUUUUUUUUAGUUGUGUUUAUAUCCUCAAAAGUAGGAUGGAGAGAGAUAGUGGGAUUACAAUAAUCUGGGUGCUAAGGUUUUUAUAAUCUAUCCAAUUACCUGGUGUGUUUAGCUCUCAUAAAGACUUUUUAGCCAAUAAUAAAAUACAAUCGCUUUGUCUUUUUUUACAUCAUUAUGGAGUGCAAAAAUAAUAUAGCAAAAUAUAUGGUCUUUGUUUCUGAUUGGACUUCUAUUAUGUUUUGGCAAAGAUUCUGAUUGGACUUCUAUUAUAUUUUGCCUAUUUGAACUCGGAGAGUUUUACUUCAACGAGCUCAUAAUCAGAAGUAUGAUCCAACCGAUACAUAACUCAUCAACUGGCAUGUUAUACAUUGAUGACUCCGCCAUAAACAUUAUAGAAGAGUUGGGCGAGCUAACUGGAACUGAGGCGGCUGUGGAUUAAAUUGGAGGAGUGGAAUGACAAGCUGUUAGAGUGCCUGCACAAGCUACAAAAGAUUCAGGAACUGUGUAUCAAUCAUGCUCCAUCAUCCUCACCGCAGCAUAGGUGGAUUGGAUAUCUGGGUUGCCCCUCGACGUCUCCGUGACUUGGUUACACAAUACAGUUGUUGGUUUUCAACACUGCCAGCUUGGGUGAAUCCAUCGCUUGUUCCGGAUCUCACCUGUCUAACCAUCGCCGUGAGGGAGCUGCAUCAGGGCGACCUCGAAAUCCUCUGGAGGUUGCCAGCUCUCCGCUAUGUAAAUCUGGAGGUGGACAAUAAGAACCUGGGCAUCCUUCAGGGAUUCGUUAUUGGUGCUGGUUCCUUCCCGUGCCUCGUAAGCUGUUGGUUCUCGCGAUUUGUAUGGCCAGUGGUGUUUUAACAAGAAGCUAUGCCAAGGCUCAGAGAGCUUCGGCUCUGGCCGUUGUUUUAUGUGCGGGAGGCAAGAGGAAUGGCCAGCAGCGAUGGUGGUCUCGAUUUUGGCCUAGGGAACCUGCUAUCACUGCAGGAAGUCAAGAUUGAAAUCCUACGUGCAGGCGCUAUCAAGGAGGCGGCGGAGCAAGCCAUGGUCCCGCUGACGCAUAUUCAGAUGAGGAAUAGCGAACCGGAGAAAAGAUUUGAGUUAAUGCAAAUGAUAAGUUUCUCGUAGAUAACAAGUUCCUCUGCUUCGCCACAUCUGCAGAGAUUAAAUUGGUCAACCAUGGACAGUACCAAACAACUCGAAAGUAGGAUGGAGAGAGAUAGUGGGAUUACAAUAAUCUGGGUGCUAAGGUUUUUAUAAUCUAUCCAAUUACCUAGUGUGUUAAGCUCUCAUAAAGACUUUUUAGCCAUUAAUAAAAUACAAUUGCUUUGUCUUUUUUA
Molecule: RNA transcript, 2927 nt
Organism: Panicum hallii
Lineage: Eukaryota; Viridiplantae; Streptophyta; Magnoliopsida; Poales; Poaceae
Gene name: putative disease resistance protein At1g50180
Exons: 4
Source: RefSeq, a predicted model, not a curated record